ACUGCAGCCAACCUUUGAAGGACACAUUUGGUUCUCAUCCCAGUUUCUCCGCCAUAUUCUUGGCUCCUGUCUUUGUGUUACUCUGCCUCUCCCAGCGUGGACUGACGUGUCUGAACUUGUGAGUGGAAAGACGCCUUUUCCUCCUACAAACUGAUUGCUCCAGUAUCACAGUGGCCGAAAAAGGCCAGCACGCAUCCCUGUCAAGAGGAAGGGCAGCAGGAGAGAGAAGGAGUAAGUUCUACGAUCCAGCCAUCAGAACCCUGUGAGCAGAGUGACUUCUGAUAACACGUCACUUCCGUUGUCCUUGCUGACCUCUGAAAAGGGAUAGAAACAGACUAUGAGCUCAUUGGGAACUGCGAGGGUGUCAUGAAGCUAAAACACUUCAGGGCAGUGUCUAGCCUGUGCUUAUCUGGCUAGUAGCCACAGUCGCCCAGCAGUAGCCACGCCCAGUAGUGGCCACGCCCAGCAGAAGCCACAAUCACCUAGCAGAAGCCAGUCACCCAGCAGUAGCCACGCCCAGCAGAAGCCACAGUCACCCAGCGGUAGCCACGCCCAGCAGUGUCCACACCCAGCAGUAGCAACGCCCAACAGAAGCCACGCCCAGCAGAAGCCACAGGCACCUAGCAGUGACCACAUCCAGCAGUGACCACGUCCAGCAGCGGCCACAGUCACCCAGCAUGCACUUCUGUCCUCUAACUCGGGUGUCAGUGCCCACGGAGGGGCCGAGAAGUGGCCAUUUCGCCCGUGAAAAUCCCACAUCUAUUGGGACCAGUAUCCUCCACUUGUGAGCACCCAGAAACAGCUUGUGACAAUCCCUAGCUGGCGAGAGGAGUCAUGCAGGGUCAGGGCGAGCUGUCCUGUUCGCAACUACCGGGCCUACGCUGCUCUCCUCCGGUUUCCUGGCCCACUUCUGUAGAAAUAGCUGGGGCAGUCUGAUCCCCAAGCCCACCCUGCUGUUUCUGAGCACCGUGAAUAAUCUCUGUGAGGAAAGCAGGUCACUCUCGGGUCCCCCGCGGCCCUCGGGGAGCGGAACACAGCAGAAAAGGGAAAGGCACGGGGCGCCUGGGUAAAUGAUCAGGACGGGUGGCGGUCAUGCCUGAAAGACACGAUUCAAAGCAGAGCCCAGAGCAGUGCCCCACUUUCCGUUCAGUUCCGGGGACAUCUAAGCUGGGGCUGUCCCGGAUGCCAUCCUCCUUUCCCAAGGGGUCGUUUUACCUGGCUGACACACUUCCUGGGCCGGUGGCUCCUGGCUUUGAAAGAAAUCCUUGAUGGAUGUCAUAAUAAAGAGGCUUGGUGGUGCG
This 1301-nucleotide long non-coding RNA is filed under the name Mus musculus (house mouse). Its description in RNAcentral is "long non-coding RNA chr5:112640334-112641635". The record is from RNAcentral. Lineage: Eukaryota; Metazoa; Chordata; Mammalia; Rodentia; Muridae.